This 394-nucleotide long non-coding RNA is filed under the name Elaeis guineensis (African oil palm). Its description in RNAcentral is "long non-coding RNA (EGUI_LNC059184)". Lineage: Eukaryota; Viridiplantae; Streptophyta; Magnoliopsida; Arecales; Arecaceae. The record is from RNAcentral.
UCUCUCCUUCAAGAAGUUCUCGCCAUGGUGAGGGCAUUGAGGACUCUAUUAAAUUCGUCAUCUCCACAUCACGCAGGUCUUGUUAACUCUUGCACUUAACCAUGCCCAUAAAGCUCCUGCUUAACCAGUACAGCUGUCAAAGCAUCCACAUAAAAAUUGAAACAUUGAAUCACAGGCUGCUUCUCUUUUUAUCACAUACUAAUAUAUAUUCCUCCUGGAUCGGGUGAAUUACCAUUACUUUUCAAUAGCUUCACAUCUUACUAACGUUGCUCCUGUCCCUUGAGUUCAAACUUCAAAUACAGCAGGACAGCCAAAGACGGAGCUAUCAGCCACCCGGAAGAGCGGGACUCGUCCCUCCUUCCAUGCCUUCCUGUGCAUAAAAUGAGCAGGAUUC